Molecule: ribosomal RNA, 524 nt
Filed under: Leuciscus leuciscus (common dace)
Lineage: Eukaryota; Metazoa; Chordata; Actinopteri; Cypriniformes; Leuciscidae
Description: partial 16S ribosomal RNA
Rfam family: Bacterial large subunit ribosomal RNA
Source: RNAcentral
GCCGCGGUAUUUUGACCGUGCAAAGGUAGCGCAAUCACUUGUCUCUUAAAUAGAGACCUGUAUGAAUGGCUAGACGAGGGCUUAACUGUCUCCCCCUUCCAGUCAGUGAAAUUGAUCUACCCGUGCAGAAGCGGGUAUAAUUAUACAAGACGAGAAGACCCUUUGGAGCUUAAGGUACAAAGUUCAACCACGUUAAACGACUCCACAGAAAGCAAGAACUUAGUGGCAAAUGAAACUUUACCUUCGGUUGGGGCGACCACGGAGGAGAAGAAAGCCUCCGAGUGGACUGGGUUAAAUCCCCAAAGCCAAGAGAUACAUCUAUAAGCCGCAGAACAUCUGACCAAGAAUGAUCCGACUGAAAGGCCGAUCAACGAACCAAGUUACCCUAGGGAUAACAGCGCAAUCCUCUCCCAGAGUCCAUAUCGACGAGGGGGUUUACGACCUCGAUGUUGGAUCAGGACAUCCUAAUGGUGCAGCCGCUAUUAAGGGUUCGUUUGUUCAACGAUUAAAGUCCUACGUGAUCU